UACGUAGGGGGCAAGCGUUGUCCGGAUUUAUUGGGCGUAAAGAGCGUGUAGGCGGCCAGGUAGGUCAGCUGUGAAAACUCGAGGCUCAACCUCGAGACGCCGGUUGAAACCAUCUGGCUAGAGUCCGGAAGAGGAGAGUGGAAUUCCUGGUGUAGCGGUGAAAUGCGCAGAUAUCAGGGAGAACACCCGUGGCUAAGGCGGCUCUCUAGUACGGUACUGACGCUGAGACGCGAAAGCGUGGGGAGCGAACAGG
This 253-nucleotide ribosomal RNA is filed under the name uncultured bacterium. RNAcentral's name for it is "partial 16S ribosomal RNA". It matches the Rfam family "Bacterial small subunit ribosomal RNA", at positions 524 to 776 of the family's 1533-position model. The record is from RNAcentral.